GGCGGGUAGUCUGCAUUUUUUUCAAGCUCUCAUUAUGCUGCACCGGUAUCUCCAGAUGCCUUCUCCAGGGAACUAAGCUGCUUUCUGUUUAAAACUGCAAAGAGCAAUGGAGAGUUUAAGCAAAGACCAUCCUUCUCCGGAUUCUUCCCUGCCACGCUCUGCAGCCCGUAAGGAGUAUGCUGUGCCAGAUGUCAUCAUAACGCACCGCUUGAGGGACCGGGAGCUGCUCAGAAAAAGAAAAGCAGAAGCCCUGGAGAAAGAUUCGACUCAGUGGGUUCUGAGGGUGCAUAAGAACCAACAGCAAAAGAGAGGCAGAGGAGCCAAAAGAGGACGGGGCCGUCAGCCGGAGGUGAAGGCCACCCUAGACCCGGAACCAACCACAGACCCCCAGCCUGAGCUGCACGAGGAGGCUGAACCAGUGCACUCUGAGCCAGCACUGCCUGAACCAGUGCACUCUGAGCCAGCACUGCCUGAACCAGUGCACUCUGAGCCAGCACUGCCUGAACCAGUGUACCAAGAACAGCUGCCCAUGCUGACCGUCCACAACCCGGUCAGUGGGAUGCAACCAGUAGCAGUGGAAGGGGAGCCAGCAGCCAGGAGCUUGGAUCCUGCAGGUGAAGAGGAGGUGGUGAAACCAACAGAAGCAGAAAUACUGGAAGAUUUCAAUACUCCUCUGGAAAACGACCACCAGGAUAACGAAUUCAACACACAUGUUCUAUAUUAAUCAGAAAUUUUCAUUCACGAAGCCUAGGCACGAUGAUCUGUAUUGAUUUUCUGAUUGUUUGGGGAUUUUCCUUAUUUUGACUCCUGCCUCACAAACUCUGAUGAAUACUGCAGCAGCUUCUUUCUGGUUAGUCAUAAAGCCCACAUUCUCCUUGUCACUCUGCUUUCUAUGACUCUUUCAGGUUACAGUGUGGUCGACUGUACAGAGGCAGUCCUUUGGGAGUUGCCUGCUGCCUGUGGCUUAUGAGCCCCCUGCUCUCUCUGCAGACAGGUUGUCUCAUUCAGGCCCACAGAAGGCUUCAUGGUGUCCUGCCACAGCACAGGUUAAGCAUAUAGUCCAGCAUCCAUCCUUCUGAAAGCCAUUUCUGAUUUGCAUAAAUGUGAGUGGCACUGCAAACCUGAAACCCAGUAUAUUUUUUAGUCAGCUGGAGCUGCACACCUUGGGCUUUUUCCUGUAUUCCUGAAGCCAUACAUCCCUUUCUGCUUUUAUUUUCACUCUGAAGGUCUUUCUCAAGGUCAGUUUUCCUCUGCAAAAAACAAUAAAAUUGUUUUGCUAAAGCC
Molecule: long non-coding RNA, 1284 nt
Filed under: Lepidothrix coronata (blue-crowned manakin)
Lineage: Eukaryota; Metazoa; Chordata; Aves; Passeriformes; Pipridae
Description: lncRNA (ENSLCOG00000014411.1)
Source: RNAcentral